AUGCCAUCAUCAAGGCACUACCAUUCUGGUAGAAUUUACUCACCAACUGGUUCAUCUGAUCAGUGGACUGGCACAUCAGGGCAAUGGUUUUCAAGAGAUGUGAACGUCCAGAUAUACGCUCUGAGUAGUGGGCCGGAAGAUGCCACAUCAUUCCCAAUACUAUGCUGUCUCUAACACAACUGAAAUGGGGUGCACCACAGAGCAGAUCACUCAUAAUGGGCCACUUACUGAACACUUGUCACCUGGACACAAAUGAGGCAGGAAAAUCACUGCUCAGGCAUGGACGCCAAUGUCUACUCCUGGAAAUCCGCUUCUGCUCACUCCAGAAAGCACCGGAGGUGUGACGAGAGCAACCCUCAUUGCUGUGCAUCCCCUGGCAGGAAACACACGCUCAGGUGCAUUUGUUCGUCCGUUUUCUUUGAAAUGCUGUGGAAAGCAGUGUACAGCAGUCCUAGCAAAAGGAGAAUUCAGGAGCUAAGUGAACACCGCAGUGGAUUUCAGCCACCGUCCCACACCUACAAGAUGUCAAAAGCGCCAAAUCCCAGAGCCUAAUGGGACCUCUGCAGUAGCCAACAUCCCAUAUGCAUAAAAGAACCUUAUAUAGUAGUAUCUCCCCAGCAAAGGGACUGUUCUUGGAAGCCAAACCAUGCUGCUUCUAGAUCCAUCUCUGGUCUAGGACAAUCUUUCUGCCCGUGAGCGUUUGUAACAGAAAGCUCUCCAAGCUAUGCCCAUGGCUUUGCGUUUCCUGGGAAAGGAGGGAGAAAGGAAAAGCAAAUGUUUCAUUCAUCAGUGUCUAAAAGGCCCAACCUGAGCCUCUCAGGAUCUCUGCCUCUUCCAGGGCAAGUCUGCUUGGCCCCAGAGGGAUCUGUCUCCCUCCAACCAGAUGAGAUGCACGGAAUCUAUGGUCCACCAGACAGUACUUAAGGAUGCUGCCUUGCCCAACCUGUGAACAAGCCUCUCUCCAAAACUUUCCUCUCUUGAAUAAAAGUGUGUCA
Molecule: long non-coding RNA, 995 nt
Filed under: Equus caballus (horse)
Lineage: Eukaryota; Metazoa; Chordata; Mammalia; Perissodactyla; Equidae
Description: lncRNA (ENSECAG00000037144.3)
Source: RNAcentral